CGUGGUGUGACUGCGUACCUUUUGUAUAAUGGGUCAGCGACUUAAUUUUAGUAGCAAGGUUAACCGUUUAGGGGAGCCGUAGGGAAACCGAGUCUUAACUGGGCGUACAGUUGCUAGGAUUAGACCCGAAACCAGGUGAUCUAGCCAUGGGCAGGUUGAAGGUUGAGUAACAUCAACUGGAGGACCGAACCGACUAAUGUUGAAAAAUUAGCGGAUGACUUGUGGCUAGGGGUGAAAGGCCAAUCAAACCUGGAGAUAGCUGGUUCUCCCCGAAAGCUAUUUAGGUAGCGCCUCGGACGAAUACUACUGGGGGUAGAGCACUGUUAAGGCUAGGGGGUCAUCCCGACUUACCAACCCUUUGCAAACUCCGAAUACCAGUAAGUACUAUCCGGGAGACACACGGCGGGUGCUAACGUCCGUCGUGGAGAGGGAAACAACCCAGACCGCCAGCUAAGGUCCCAAAGUAUAGCUAAGUGGGAAACGAUGUGGGAAGGCUCAGACAGCCAGGAUGUUGGCUUAGAAGCAGCCAUCAUUUAAAGAAAGCGUAAUAGCUCACUGGUCGAGUCGGCCUGCGCGGAAGAUGUAACGGGGCUAAGCUAUACACCGAAGCUGCGGCUACGUACCUUAGGGUAUGUGGGGUAGGGGAGCGUUCUGUAAGCCGUUGAAGGUGGUCUGUAAGGGCUGCUGGAGGUAUCAGAAGUGCGAAUGCUGACAUGAGUAACGAUAAAGGGAGUGAAAAACUCCCUCGCCGGAAGACCAAGGGUUCCUGUCCAACGUUAAUCGGGGCAGGGUAAGUCGACUCCUAAGGCGAGGCCGAAAGGCGUAGUCGAUGGGAAACGGGUUAAUAUUCCCGUACUUCUUACAAUUGCGAUGGGGGGACGGAGAAGGCUAGGUGGGCCUGGCGACGGUUGUCCAGGUUCAAGUACGUAGGCGGGUGGUUUAGGUAAAUCCGGACCGCUACUAACGCUGAGAUACGAUGUCGAGCUACUACGGUAGUGAAGUCAUUGAUGCCAUGCUUCCAGGAAAAGCCUCUAAGCUUCAGAUUGUAAGGAAUCGUACCCCAAACCGACACAGGUGGUCGGGUAGAGAAUACCAAGGCGCUUGAGAGAACUCGGGUGAAGGAACUAGGCAAAAUGGUACCGUAACUUCGGGAGAAGGUACGCUCUUAUCAGUGAAGUCCCUUGCGGAUGGAGCAGACGAGAGUCGCAGAUACCAGGUGGCUGCAACUGUUUAUUAAAAACACAGCACUGUGCAAAAUCGUAAGAUGACGUAUACGGUGUGACGCCUGCCCGGUGCCGGAAGGUUAAUUGAUGGGGUUAGACUUCGGUCGAAGCUCUUGAUCGAAGCCCCGGUAAACGGCGGCCGUAACUAUAACGGUCCUAAGGUAGCGAAAUUCCUUGUCGGGUAAGUUCCGACCUGCACGAAUGGCGUAAUGAUGGCCACGCUGUCUCCACCCGAGACUCAGUGAAAUUGAAAUCGCUGUGAAGAUGCAGUGUACCCGCGGCUAGACGGAAAGACCCCGUGAACCUUUACUACAGCUUGGCACUGAACAUUGAACCUACAUGUGUAGGAUAGGUGGGAGACUUUGAAACCGCGUCGCUAGAUGUGGUGGAGUCGUCCUUGAAAUACCACCCUUGUAGUUUUGAUGUUCUAACGUUGGUCCCUGAAUCGGGAUUACGGACAGUGCCUGGUGGGUAGUUUGACUGGGGCGGUCUCCUCCCAAAGAGUAACGGAGGAGCACGAAGGUGGGCUAAACACGGUUGGACAUCGUGUGGUUAGUGCAAUGGCAUAAGCCCGCUUGACUGCGAGAAUGACAAUUCGAGCAGGUGCGAAAGCAGGUCAUAGUGAUCCGGUGGUUCUGAAUGGAAGGGCCAUCGCUCAACGGAUAAAAGGUACUCCGGGGAUAACAGGCUGAUACCGCCCAAGAGUUCAUAUCGACGGCGGUGUUUGGCACCUCGAUGUCGGCUCAUCACAUCCUGGGGCUGAAGUCGGUCCCAAGGGUAUGGCUGUUCGCCAUUUAAAGUGGUACGCGAGCUGGGUUUAGAACGUCGUGAGACAGUUCGGUCCCUAUCUGCCGUGGGCGUUGGAAAAUUGAAAGGGGCUGCUCCUAGUACGAGAGGACCGGAGUGGACGAACCUCUGGUGUUCGGGUUGUCAUGCCAAUGGCAUUGCCCGGUAGCUAAGUUCGGAAUCGAUAACCGCUGAAAGCAUCUAAGCGGGAAGCGAGCCUUGAGAUGAGUUUUCCCUGGC
RNAcentral lists this ribosomal RNA (2249 nucleotides) under Vibrio sp. OPT18. Its description in RNAcentral is "partial 23S ribosomal RNA". It matches the Rfam family "Bacterial large subunit ribosomal RNA", at positions 587 to 2819 of the family's 2925-position model. The record is from RNAcentral. Lineage: Bacteria; Pseudomonadati; Pseudomonadota; Gammaproteobacteria; Vibrionales; Vibrionaceae.